This 460-nucleotide ribosomal RNA is filed under the name uncultured bacterium. Its description in RNAcentral is "partial 16S ribosomal RNA". It matches the Rfam family "Bacterial small subunit ribosomal RNA", at positions 338 to 795 of the family's 1533-position model. The record is from RNAcentral.
CCUACGGGUGGCAGCAGUGAGGAAUAUUGGUCAAUGGGCGCGAGCCUGAACCAGCCAAGUAGCGUGAAGGAUGACUGCCCUACGGGUUGUAAACUUCUUUUAUAAAGGAAUAAAGUGAGGCACGAGUGCCUUUUUGUAUGUACUUUAUGAAUAAGGAUCGGCUAACUCCGUGCCAGCAGCCGCGGUAAGACGGAGGAUCCGAGCGUUAUCCGGAUUUAGUGGGUUUAAAGGGAGUGCAGAUGGGUUGUUAAGUCAGUUGUGAAAGUUUGCGGCUCAACCGUAAAAUUGCAAUUGAUACUGGCAGUCUUGAGUACAGUUGAGGUAGGCGGAAUUCGUGGUGUAGCGGUGAAAUGCUUAGAUAUCACGAAGAACUCCGAUUGCGAAGGCAGCCUGCUGGACUGUAACUGACGCUGAUGCUCGAAAGUGUGGGUAUCAAACAGGAUUAGAUACCCCAGUAGUC